This 1113-nucleotide ribosomal RNA is filed under the name Bacillus sp. (in: firmicutes). RNAcentral's name for it is "bacterial SSU rRNA". It matches the Rfam family "Bacterial small subunit ribosomal RNA", at positions 33 to 1134 of the family's 1533-position model. The record is from RNAcentral. Lineage: Bacteria; Bacillati; Bacillota; Bacilli; Caryophanales; Bacillaceae.
GUGCAGUGGCGGCGUGCUAUACAUGCAGUCGAGCGGAUCUUUAGGAGCUUGCUCCUAAAGAUUAGCGGCGGACGGGUGAGUAACACGUGGGCAACCUGCCUGUAAGACUGGGAUAACUUCGGGAAACCGGAGCUAAUACCGGAUAACUUCUUCCCCCGCAUGGGGAAAGGUUGAAAGACGGUUAUGCUGUCACUUACAGAUGGGCCCGCGGCGCAUUAGCUAGUUGGUGAGGUAACGGCUCACCAAGGCGACGAUGCGUAGCCGACCUGAGAGGGUGAUCGGCCACACUGGGACUGAGACACGGCCCAGACUCCUACGGGAGGCAGCAGUAGGGAAUCUUCCGCAAUGGACGAAAGUCUGACGGAGCAACGCCGCGUGAGUGAUGAAGGUUUUCGGAUCGUAAAACUCUGUUAUCAGGGAAGAAUAAGUACCGUGUAACUAACGGUACCGUGACGGUACCUGACCAGAAAGCCACGGCUAACUACGUGCCAGCAGCCGCGGUAAUACGUAGGUGGCAAGCGUUGUCCGGAAUUAUUGGGCGUAAAGCGCGCGCAGGCGGUCUCUUAAGUCUGAUGUGAAAUCUCGCGGCUCAACCGUGAGCGGUCAUUGGAAACUGGGAGACUUGAGUGCAGAAGAGAAGAGCGGAAUUCCACGUGUAGCGGUGAAAUGCGUAGAGAUGUGGAGGAACACCAGUGGCGAAGGCGGCUCUUUGGUCUGUAACUGACGCUGAGGCGCGAAAGCGUGGGGAGCGAACAGGAUUAGAUACCCUGGUAGUCCACGCCGUAAACGAUGAGUGCUAAGUGUUAGAGGGUUUCCGCCCUUUAGUGCUGCAGCUAACGCAUUAAGCACUCCGCCUGGGGAGUACGGCCGCAAGGCUGAAACUCAAAGGAAUUGACGGGGGCCCGCACAAGCGGUGGAGCAUGUGGUUUAAUUCGAAGCAACGCGAAGAACCUUACCAGUCUUGACAUCCCGCUGACCGGGCCUAGAGAUAGGUCUUCCCCUUCGGGGGCAGCGGUGACAGUGGUGCAUGAUGUCGUCAGCUCGUGUCGUGAGAUGUUGGGUUAGUCCCGCACGAGCGCAACCCUUGAUCUUAGUUGCCAGCAUUCAGUUUGG